Molecule: ribosomal RNA, 406 nt
Filed under: uncultured bacterium
Lineage: Bacteria
Description: partial 16S ribosomal RNA
Rfam family: Bacterial small subunit ribosomal RNA
Source: RNAcentral
GGGGGAGGAAAGUAGGGGAUCGCAAGACCNNNCGCUAUUUGGAGCGGCCGAUGUCUGAUUAGCUAGUUGGUGGGGUAAAAGCNNNCCAAGGCGACGAUCAGUAGCUGGUUUGAGAGGACGACCAGCCACACUGGGACUGAGACACGGCCCAGACUCCUACGGGAGGCAGCAGUGGGGAAUUUUGGACAAUGGGGGCAACCCUGAUCCAGCCAUGCCGCGUGCGGGAAGAAGGCCUUCGGGUUGUAAACCGCUUUUGUCAGGGAAGAAAUGNNCUUUUUUAAUACAAGAGUUCGAUGACGGUACCUGAAGAAUAAGCACCGGCUAACUACGUGCCAGCAGCCGCGGUAAUACGUAGGGUGCGAGCGUUAAUCGGAAUUACUGGGCGUAAAGCGUGCGCAGGCGGUNU